Molecule: ribosomal RNA, 662 nt
Filed under: Stephanospora kanuka
Lineage: Eukaryota; Fungi; Basidiomycota; Agaricomycetes; Agaricales; Stephanosporaceae
Description: eukaryotic LSU rRNA
Rfam family: Eukaryotic large subunit ribosomal RNA
Source: RNAcentral
UCCCCUAGUAACUGCGAGUGAAGAGGGAAAAGCUCAAAUUUGAAAUCUGGUGGUCCCUUGUGAUCAUCCGAGUUGUAAUUUAGAGAAGUGUUACCCGCGCUGGACCGUGUACAAAUCUCCUCGAACGGAGUAUCAUAGAGGGUGAGAAUCCCGUAUAUGACACGGACUCCCAGGGCUUUGUGGUACGCUCUCAACGAGUCGAGUUGUUUGGGAAUGCAGCUCUAAAUGGGUGGUAAAUUCCAUCUAAAGCUAAAUAUAGGCGAGAGACCGAUAGCGAACAAGUACCGUGAGGGAAAGAUGAAAAGAACUUUGGAAAGAGAGUUAAACAGUAUGUGAAAUUGUUGAAAGGGAAACGCUUGAAGUCAGUCGCGUCUCUCAGAGAUCAACCUAGCCUUUUCGCUUGGUGCACUCUCUGUGGGAUGGGUCAGCAUCAAUUUUGACUGGGGGAAAAAGUUUGUGGGAAUGUGGCACCCUUGUGGUGUGUUAUAACCUACUUGCAUAUACCUCUGUUGGGAUUGAGGAACUCAGCAUGCCGAAAGGCCGAACUUUUUAGUCACGUACCAUGCUUAGGAUGCUGGCAUAAUGUCUUCAAUCGACCCGUCUUGAAACACGGACCAAGGAGUCUAACAUGCCCGCGAGUGUUUGGGUGAAAAAACCCAAGU